CUGGUUGCGCGCGGGGGCGCUGGUGGCGUCCGCGCAAAUGGCGUCCACGGUGGGUCCUUCAGAGAAGGACCGUGGAGGACUUUACGGUGCACGAGACCAGCAGGAUAACAGCUCAAACAGAAACUCACCGUGGCGGCAUCGUGGAAGGUCACCAGCAGCAGGAAACGAGGAGCGUGAAAUGUAAACGUGGAAAUUCACCGCAAAGCAGCAACACGUGAUGACUCGCCAUGUCGGCUUACACCUGCAUAAUAAAACAUUUAAAAAUCGCAAAGAAGAAGCACUUGAGUCCUAAGUUAGGAUGUCGAUUAUCGUAGCUUUACGCUUCGAAAGAUUUGGGACAGCCGUAGUACAGACGCGCGUUUUUGUUGUUUUUGGAGGCCUGAGAGUAAACACAC
Non-coding RNA from Plectropomus leopardus (leopard coralgrouper), 395 nucleotides. The record is from RefSeq and is a predicted model, not a curated record. Lineage: Eukaryota; Metazoa; Chordata; Actinopteri; Perciformes; Serranidae.